Molecule: long non-coding RNA, 508 nt
Organism: Nerophis ophidion (straightnose pipefish)
Lineage: Eukaryota; Metazoa; Chordata; Actinopteri; Syngnathiformes; Syngnathidae
Exons: 4
Source: RefSeq, a predicted model, not a curated record
CGGCGCCACAACCAGCUUCUUUCCAGGGGGGAUAAUUAAUGCACUCUACCAUUAGGCCCCAUGUGGACGUCUGACCUCGCCAUUGCUCUGCUCCAAACGGGCAAAGGACAGUGAAAUAAGCGCGUCUUCUGCUUCACAGUUGGUUGCCUGUCUGUGAGGGAGGUGUUUGAACAGCCUACAAACUACUGUGACAAAAGGUGAUGCUUUCAUCCUGAUUUGUCCUUCUUGGACCUGGGAGUCCCUGAAUCCCAGUAUGGCUUUGGAACACCCUGGAAAUACCUGGACUUCUAGGAGUGUAUAACCAAAAGAUCUUGAGGUGCCCAGGCGCCGCAUUGAUAGCUUUACAUUUGCCUGUACAAUUUUGACACCAAACAAAAGAAGAAAUAGAGGAGAGGACUUUAGCAAUAGCUGCCACAAUUGUUUCGACAAGCCUACUGUGACCAGGAGGACUCGACCUUUGGGCCGGCGGGCUUCAAACCGACACUUGAAAAGAGAACGCCGCCAGGGA